CAGAGGGCAGAGAACAAAAAAGCAUUUCAUCUAUCUUCUUCAAUUUUUUACUCACCUUAAAUUGUUACCAUUAAACCACCAGCCCACCACCAUAUUCCCCGAUCCUCUGUUUUCGUUUCCUCCAAGCUAGACACAUACUCAUCUCCAUCAUUUUCCAUUUUUAACUUUUUAACACUCAAACCACAAAACCACCGUGAACCACUCCAUCUCCACCGUUAACCACCAUGGACACCACCUGAAAUCCACCACCCCUGCUUCUGUUCUUCUCUAUUUUCACCGUUUCACCACCACUUUCCGACCAAACACCACCCUAUAACUUUAAACCCGCCGGAAACCACCCUUAACCCAUCUCGCCACCACCAUUACACCGCCCCUCACUCCCAUCGGAAAAAAAACCCCGUCACCACCCUGUCUAUCUAAGACUGAAAAACAGAGGCGAAUGGACCCCUAUUUCCUGUGAAACACCCAGUCUUUGUCGAGGUUUCGGUUGAAGUUUUCGACUCCGGUCGUCGGCUUCUUGACGGUUCGUUUAUUUGCUGCUGGGUUUUAUUCGUAAUUGAGAGUUUUGGAAUUGCUUCUUGUUUCAACUGGUCCAUUUCUUUACCUACUUUUCAAUAUUAAAAUAGUUUCAGUUGAUG
Long non-coding RNA from Lycium ferocissimum, 638 nucleotides. RefSeq lists it as uncharacterized. The record is from RefSeq and is a predicted model, not a curated record. The transcript has 2 exons. NCBI's taxonomy places the organism in Eukaryota, Viridiplantae, Streptophyta, Magnoliopsida, Solanales, Solanaceae.